UGCAGUCGAGCGGCAGCGGAAGUAGCUUGCUACUUUGCCGGCGAGCGGCGGACGGGUGAGUAAUGUCUGGGAAACUGCCUGAUGGAGGGGGAUAACUACUGGAAACGGUGGCUAAUACCGCAUAACGUCGCAAGACCAAAGUGGGGGACCUUCGGGCCUCACGCCAUCGGAUGUGCCCAGAUGGGAUUAGCUAGUAGGUGGGGUAAUGGCUCACCUAGGCGACGAUCCCUAGCUGGUCUGAGAGGAUGACCAGCCACACUGGAACUGAGACACGGUCCAGACUCCUACGGGAGGCAGCAGUGGGGAAUAUUGCACAAUGGGCGCAAGCCUGAUGCAGCCAUGCCGCGUGUGUGAAGAAGGCCUUCGGGUUGUAAAGCACUUUCAGCGAGGAGGAAGGCAUCACACUUAAUACGUGUGGUGAUUGACGUUACUCGCAGAAGAAGCACCGGCUAACUCCGUGCCAGCAGCCGCGGUAAUACGGAGGGUGCAAGCGUUAAUCGGAAUUACUGGGCGUAAAGCGCACGCAGGCGGUUUGUUAAGUCAGAUGUGAAAUCCCCGAGCUUAACUUG
RNAcentral lists this ribosomal RNA (569 nucleotides) under Yersinia nurmii. RNAcentral's name for it is "bacterial SSU rRNA". It matches the Rfam family "Bacterial small subunit ribosomal RNA", at positions 56 to 616 of the family's 1533-position model. Lineage: Bacteria; Pseudomonadati; Pseudomonadota; Gammaproteobacteria; Enterobacterales; Yersiniaceae. The record is from RNAcentral.